GCGGCCGCGAGAACAGUAGCCGCCCAGGGACUAAGGGGGCUUCUGGGAGGACACACGGCUGGCCCAGGGUGAGGGGAGCCACUGCAGGGCGCUCCCCAGGCCCAGGGCCCGUCAGGGGACAGUACGGUGACCCGGCCUGCAGGUGGCAGUCGGUUCUGUGUGUCUGGGGCCCACAGAACAGAUUCAACACUCACUGCGUCAUGUGCCAGCUGUUGCACACUCAUCUCCACGCCCAACUCACAGGAAGCAAGGCUGGGAAGGAGGGAACUGGCCCCAGGCCACACAGAUGCUGAGAGUUGGGAAUAUGAUCGGGUGCAGUGGCUCACACCUGUAAUUCCAGCACUUGGGGAGGCCAAGGCGAGUGGAUUGCUUGAGCCCAGGAGUCUGAGACCAGCCUGGGCAACAUGGU
This 409-nucleotide small RNA is filed under the name Pan troglodytes (chimpanzee). RNAcentral's name for it is "processed transcript". Lineage: Eukaryota; Metazoa; Chordata; Mammalia; Primates; Hominidae. The record is from RNAcentral.